GACAAACGCUGGCGGCGUGCAUAAAACAUGCAAGUCGAACGGACUUCAGUCCGCAAGGACUGAAGUGAGUGGCGAACGGCUGAGUAACACGUAGGUGACCUGCCCCGAAGUUUGGGAUAACAACUCGAAAGAGUUGCUAAUACCGGAUGUGACCACCGAUUCAUUUCGGUGCUUAAAGUCGCAAGACGCUUUGGGAGGGGCCUGCGGCGGAUUAGCUAGUUGGUGUGGUAACGGCAUACCAAGGCUUCGAUCCGUAGCUGGUCUGAGAGGAUGGCCAGCCAGACUGGGACUGAGACACGGCCCAGACUCCUACGGGAGGCAGCAGUAAGGAAUAUUGGUCAAUGGACGCAAGUCUGAACCAGCCAUGCCGCGUGAAGGAUGAAGGCCCUCGUGGGUUUGUAAACUUUCUUUUUAUCUUGGGAAAGAAAUGCCUUGUUUUUAACGGGUUUGACGGUACCAGAGGAAUAAGCACCGGCUAACUCCGUGCCAGCCGCCGCUAGU
This 501-nucleotide ribosomal RNA is filed under the name uncultured bacterium. Its description in RNAcentral is "bacterial SSU rRNA". It matches the Rfam family "Bacterial small subunit ribosomal RNA", at positions 28 to 522 of the family's 1533-position model. The record is from RNAcentral.